This 467-nucleotide long non-coding RNA is filed under the name Pan paniscus (pygmy chimpanzee). Its description in RNAcentral is "lncRNA (ENSPPAG00000045512.1)". The record is from RNAcentral. Lineage: Eukaryota; Metazoa; Chordata; Mammalia; Primates; Hominidae.
AAAAGAGAGAGGGAUAAAAAUAGAAAUAAGCAGAGCUGCCUGCUUCCUGGGCAGGUCGAAGUGCCUAGAUACAGAUUAAUGAGCCAUUAUGACAGGAUGCUAAAGGGGCCUGGGCUGAAGAUGCUCUGAUGUGGACUGGACAGGGCAGGGUUAUUUAGCGAUGGAGGGAAGCUGGGGCAGGUGCUCGGAGAAGGCAGGAGGGGAUGAAGAGAACAGUCAGGCGUGUGGGACCUGGUAUCCAGAGAAAUGGGGCCCGGCAAGACGGGGAAAGGAGGAGCAGUGAGUUUGCUGCAUCAGAAGGACCUGGUGAGAGGAAAUCCCAGCAAAACAGCUUGCAAAUCUCCCACUGUGCAGUCAGGACCUCUACCCCUCACUUCCCAUUCAUUAGACAUAAAAUGAUUGCCACAGACUACGUCUCUUCUCCCGGGCCCCUCAAAAGGUGCUGCCUCCCCUUCUUCUCUCUUUAG